AGCAAAUAGGUUAAGCAAUGUUUCUUAAUCAAGCUACGGAAGAUACGGCUCUUGUUCAUGACUCUCUCUCUCUCUCUCUUGGAUCAAAGACUUCUUCUCAAACAAACAUUCCUCUUCUUCAAAUCCAAUCUCCGAUGACGAGGAGUCACCGGCUGUUACCGCAGAGUUCUGCCGAUUAUUUCGCCGCCGGAUCCGGAUCUUUCGCCGCCGGAAACCUUCAUCGAUCCGCUGCUCGUCUGGCAACGAGGACGAUGCUCCUUCGCCAUCGGUGGUGAUGGACUCCGACUUCGACGCCAAGACGUUCCGCAAGAACUUGACGAGGAGCAUAACUACAAUCGCAAGCUCAUGAAGUGGUGAUGCCAAUGACGGCGAAGAAGGAGAAGGAAUUGGGUCGGCCAAAUGAGAUAGCUUACCAGAAGGAAGCAGCGAAUUGGGUGAAUCUGAUUGGGUUAGUGGAUCUGCUUUCUGGUACUACUCCCCCCUCUUCCUCCAAUUUUGUUUUAACAAAUUGGUUUUAUCAUUUAUUGUAUUAAAAACGCAUUGCUUGGUGUGGUUUUGAUGUAAAAGGUUGUGACUUUGGUUUGUUAACUUUGGUUUGUUAGGAUUCCGAUAACGUUUGAAGUGUUGGUACAGAAUCUUAGCUUUGUGCAGCAGACUGCCUUGACGGAUGAUCAGUUGCAAGCAACUGAAGCUAGUGAGAAACUUCUUAUUUUUUUAAAAAAUCAGGUUAUAUGGGUUCCUGGCAGCUUUGAGAUAGGUGUUGCUGCACAAAAGCUUGGGAAAUCAGGAAAGUUUCAUGCCGUUUUAUGUUAUCGGUGCUGUGGUAUGGCUCCCUUGAUUUAUACAAGUUUUGAUUAUAUGUGCUCAGAACGUACUUUGCUUUAUGGCUGCUGAAACAUGUUUAGUGUUUGGGUUUUGAUCUAGACUUUGUUGUGUGUUAGAUAAGAGGAGAUACUACUCAUUAUGAUGAUGUUGCCAACUCUGCUGCAUUUGUAGUACUUUCUGUUGGCAUUAAUUCAGUUUUGUUCUUGAUCAUCAUUUGCGUCAUCUGCAUAUUUUUUAAAGACGUGUAUGUAACAUUGGUUUGAAAACAGAGUCAGUGUUGUUGAUGUCAUCUUCUCUUGCAUUUAGAUUAGCUUUGCAGUAGUCAAUGUUAUCUUCUCUUGCAUUUAUAGCCUAACUUUCAAAAUCGCUCACUCU
This is an RNA transcript of Brassica oleracea var. oleracea, 1200 nucleotides long. RefSeq lists it as uncharacterized. Lineage: Eukaryota; Viridiplantae; Streptophyta; Magnoliopsida; Brassicales; Brassicaceae. The transcript has 2 exons. The record is from RefSeq and is a predicted model, not a curated record.